GAUGAAGAACGCAGUGAAAUGCGAUAAGUAAUGUGAAUUGCAGAAUUCAGUGAAUCAUCGAAUCUUUGAACGCACAUUGCGCCCGCCAGUAUUCUGGCGGGCAUGCCUGUCUGAGCGUCAUUUCAACCCUCAAGCAACUUCUGCUUGGUGUUGGGGAUCGGCCGUCAAACGCCGCCCCCGAAAUCUAUUGGCGAUCUCGCUGUAGCUUCCUAUGCGUAGUAGUAACAUCUCGCAUCUGGAGAGCGGCGCGGUCAUGCCGUAAAACACCCAACUUCUCAGGUUGACCGCAGAUCAGGUAGGAAUACCCGCUGAACUUAAGCAUAUCAAUAAGCGGAGGA
RNAcentral lists this unclassified non-coding RNA (338 nucleotides) under soil metagenome. RNAcentral describes it as "partial contains 5.8S ribosomal RNA, internal transcribed spacer 2, and large subunit ribosomal RNA". The stretch from base 1 to 120 matches the Rfam family "5.8S ribosomal RNA", at positions 35 to 154 of the family's 154-position model. The record is from RNAcentral.